RNAcentral lists this ribosomal RNA (428 nucleotides) under uncultured Chlamydiae bacterium. RNAcentral describes it as "bacterial SSU rRNA". It matches the Rfam family "Bacterial small subunit ribosomal RNA", at positions 958 to 1385 of the family's 1533-position model. Lineage: Bacteria; Pseudomonadati; Chlamydiota; Chlamydiia. The record is from RNAcentral.
AACGCGAAGAACCUUACCUGGGCUAGAAGUGUAGAGGACGACAUCAGAGAUGAUGUUUCUCGAAAGGGUCUUUACAUAGGUGCUGCAUGGCUGUCGUCAGCUCGUGCCGUGAGGUGUUUGGUUAAGUCCAGCAACGAGCGCAACCCUUAUCGUUAGUUGCCAACGCGUAAUGGCGGGAACUCUAACGAGACUGCCUGGGUUAACCAGGAGGAAGGUGAGGAUGACGUCAAGUCCGCAUGGCCUUUAUGUCCAGGGCUACACACGUGCUACAAUGGUCGGUACAGAAGGCAGCGAAAUCGCAAGAUGAAGCAAAUCCCAAAAAACCGAUCUCAGUUCAGAUUGUAGUCUGCAACUCGGCUACAUGAAGUUGGAAUUGCUAGUAAUGGCGUGUCAGCAACAACGCCGUGAAUACGUUCCCGGGCCUUGUA